AUGGAGAAGAUGUUGAUUGAGUCCCUGGGCUUGCGAAAGCUAAACAAGCCUCCUAAGCCACCGGACAUUCACAAAUGGAGCAAGCCUCCAAUGCAUUAUGUGAAGGUUAAUUUCGACGGUGCCUUUGAUGAAAAUACAUGUGCAGGGGGUUGGGGCUAUGUGGUCCGUGAUCAGGCUAGCGAAUUCAUCGCUGCUAGUGCGGGCAAGUCUGUGAACCUGAAAUGUGCUUUGCAAUCUGAAUCUGUAGCCUGCCUUGCUGCCAUUAUGGGGCGAUUAGGAUUGGGGCAAAUCGAAUCAUCUUCGAGUCUGAUUCCUCAACUCUUAUACAAGCUUUGA
This 336-nucleotide ribosomal RNA is filed under the name Triticum aestivum (bread wheat). Its description in RNAcentral is "partial small subunit ribosomal RNA". The record is from RNAcentral. Lineage: Eukaryota; Viridiplantae; Streptophyta; Magnoliopsida; Poales; Poaceae.